This 713-nucleotide ribosomal RNA is filed under the name uncultured organism. RNAcentral's name for it is "bacterial SSU rRNA". It matches the Rfam family "Bacterial small subunit ribosomal RNA", at positions 78 to 777 of the family's 1533-position model. The record is from RNAcentral.
GCUUGCACUGUGUUGAGAGUGGCGAACGGGUGAGUAACACGUAGGUGAUCUACCCUUGAGGGCAGGGAUAGCUUGGGGAAACACAGGGUAAUACCUGAUGAGACCUACAGUCUACGGGCUGUAGGGGAAAGGCGCGAUGAGCGCCCCCUUAGGAUGAGCCUGCGGUCCAUUAGCUUGUUGGUGGGGUAAGGGCCUACCAAGGCGACGAUGGAUAGCCGACCUGAGAGGGUGACCGGUCACACUGGGACUGAGACACGGGCCAGAGUCCUACGGGAGGCAGCAGCUAAGAAUCGGGCGCAGUGGGGGAAACCCUGACGGAGCGACGCCGCGUGGACGAAGAAGGCCAGAAGGUUGUAAAGUCCUUUUGCAGAUGAAGAAUAAGGUGAGGAGGGAAUGCCUCAUCGAUGACGUUAGUUUGUGAAUAAGCCCCGGCUAAUUACGUGCCAGCAGCCGCGGUAACACGUAAGGGGCGAGCGUUGUUCGGAAUUAUUGGGCGUAAAGGGCGUGUAGGCGGACUGGUAAGUCUGGUGUGUAAGGCUACGGCUUAACCGUAGUUGUGCGCUGGAAACUGCCGGGCUAGAGUCCGGAAGGGGGAGGUAGAAUUCCUGGUGUAGGGGUGAAAUCUGUAGAUAUCAGGAAGAAUACCAGUGGCGAAGGCGAACUCCUGGUCUUGGACUGACGCUGAGGCGCGAAAGCGUGGGGAGCGAACAGGA